This is a non-coding RNA of Carica papaya (papaya), 1543 nucleotides long. NCBI's taxonomy places the organism in Eukaryota, Viridiplantae, Streptophyta, Magnoliopsida, Brassicales, Caricaceae. The record is from RefSeq and is a predicted model, not a curated record.
CACAGAGAGACGACAACGAGCGGGAGAGAGAGAGAGAGAGAGAGAGAGAGAGAGAGAGAGUGGGGAAGACGUGAAAGGCUAGGGUUUCCAAACGAGAGGAAGGAGAUAACUUUCUGGGGUAUUUAGAAAGAGAUUAGAGGCGUUCUCAGAGAGAGAAGAAGGAUGGCAGAGCACGGGGAUUGAGGAAGGAAAGUGGGAGAUAACACGAGGCUUGAGGGAAGGAUAGUGGAGGAGGUUCUGGUGUUCUGGGAGCUCACAGAAGAGGAUAUCGGAGUCUUCAGCAAAUCUGAUAACAAAUUGUCAUUGGCAAGUUAGAUCUUUGUGGCUGGAAAAUUCAAAAGCCAUGUUGAAUGUCGUUGUGGUUUCCCUGUAGGUCUCCCCUAUGCUGGAAAGUGAUAAUGCUGCAGCCGUACAAAGAGGUCAUCUCAUUAAGUCAAGGAUGCUGGUUUGUCCAGUGCCGUUUGCCUUUCCACCUGUUGUGCACCCUGCACUUCUCUGGAUUUGGGUGCCAUGGAAGGAGAGAGCUACUAGGAGAUACACUAAGUGAUAAGGCAAAUUGGGUAAGAAGCAAUCACAAAGCUUAUUGAUUUCAGCCAUACCCAUAAUGUGGAAUUGAAGGAGCUGGUCUCUAAAAUGCUGAGGAUGUUGUAUGGACAGAAGGUUCUGGUAGUGGUUUACCAUGUGGUCAUGAAUAAUUGCGUGACAUUUCCUAUUAAAGGGAUAUACUGGAAUCAUGAAGGAUCUGCUCAGGUGUUUGAAGGAGAGAGAGCUAGGGAUCUUAGGUGGCAUCAAGCAUAUAGAUUUAGCAAAUAUGAGAGGCUACUGCAGGCUUCCAUCUCAAAGCUUCUUAUCUGUAUGAUUACCUGGCUAUGAUAAGCUUAGAUGGUUUUUUGCAUCAACAUUUCCAAUAAGACCAGGCCUCAAAUUGGAGUGCUUGUCUAAAAAUGUGCUUGGGUUUGCCCGAGGACUAUCUUAUACUGAAAAAUAGUUCUCUGAGAAAUCCAUAACUUUCUCCUUGAUGAUAACUGGGAGCUUCGUGUCUGAUUUUAGUCUUGCAAAGCUGCUGGUUGAUGAGAAUUCACAUCUUACAACUAUGACCAUUGGCAUUUAGGCUAUCUGGCUCCGGACUGUUGACAAAGUGGGGCAGCCACUGAGUAAUUGGAAUGCAUAUAGCUCUGUAGUUCUCCUUCUUGAGCUUGUAAUUGGAAAGGGAAGUAUUGACUUAACAUUUAUGAAGUGUGGUAAGUUGGAUGAACACUUUACUAGAAAGAAUUGACCAAAAGCCAUUUUGGACAAAAGAUAUAUCAUUUCAGAUGCAGAAACAGUCGAAGUAGUUCUUAAAUUCAUGGAAGGGUGCACUGAUGCAAAACCAGAUAAUUGGCCGACAAUUAGCCUGGUACUACAGUUGCUAGAGUGAUACCCAUGUCACCUUGUCCUAAGGAUUUUUACUAGUCCCAAGAAUUGGACAUGAAAGCUUGUUGGUGUGGCAUGACCACUGCAAUUGGCUGUGCAUCUGUUAUUUGCUGCCAUCAUCACUACAAAA